UACGGAGGAUGCAAGCGUUAUCCGGAAUCAUUGGGCGUAAAGCGUUCGUAGGUGGCUUUUCAAGUCUGCUGUCAAAGCACAAGGCUUAACCUUGUAAAGGCAGUGGAAACUGAAAUGGCUAGAGUGCGGUAGGGGUAGAGGGAAUUCCCAGUGUAGCGGUGAAAUGCGUAGAGAUUUGGGAAGAACACCGGUGGCGAAAGCGCUCUACUGGGCCUGCACUGACACUGAGGGACGAGAGCUAGGGGAGCGAAAGGG
This 255-nucleotide ribosomal RNA is filed under the name uncultured bacterium. RNAcentral describes it as "partial 16S ribosomal RNA". It matches the Rfam family "Bacterial small subunit ribosomal RNA", at positions 524 to 776 of the family's 1533-position model. The record is from RNAcentral.